This 1001-nucleotide ribosomal RNA is filed under the name uncultured bacterium. RNAcentral describes it as "bacterial SSU rRNA". It matches the Rfam family "Bacterial small subunit ribosomal RNA", at positions 8 to 997 of the family's 1533-position model. The record is from RNAcentral.
AGAGUUUGAUCAUGGCUCAGAUUGAACGCUGGCGGUAUGCUUAACACAUGCAAGUCGAACGGUAGCAGGCCUUCGGGCGCUGACGAGUGGCGGACGGGUGAGUAACGCGUAGGAAUCUGCCUCAUAGUGGGGGACAACGUGGGGAAACUCACGCUAAUACCGCAUACGCCCUACGGGGGAAAGCGGGGGCUCUUCGGACCUCGCGCUAUGAGAUGAGCCUGCGUUAGAUUAGCUAGUUGGUGGGGUAAAGGCCUACCAAGGCGACGAUCUAUAGCUGGUCUGAGAGGACGAUCAGCCACACCGGGACUGAGACACGGCCCAGACUCCUACGGGAGGCAGCAGUGGGGAAUAUUGGACAAUGGGCGGAAGCCUGAUCCAGCAAUACCGCGUGUGUGAAGAAGGCCUUAGGGUUGUAAAGCACUUUCAAUUGGGAGGAAAACCUACCGGUCAAUACCCGGUAGCUUGACAUUACCUUUAGAAGAAGCACCGGCUAACUCCGUGCCAGCAGCCGCGGUAAUACGGAGGGUGCGAGCGUUAAUCGGAAUUACUGGGCGUAAAGCGUGCGUAGGCGGUUCGUUAAGUCAGAUGUGAAAGCCCUGGGCUCAACCUGGGAACGGUAUUUUGAAACUGGCGGACUAGAGUUUAGUAGAGGGGAGUGGAAUUUCAGGUGUAGCGGUGAAAUGCGUAGAUAUCUGAAGGAACACUAGUGGCGAAGGCGACUCCCUGGACUAGAACUGACGCUGAGGUACGAAAAGCGUGGGUAGCAAACAGGAUUAUAUACCCUGUUAGUCCACGCCGUAAAACGAUGUUCGACUAGCCGUUGGUUCCUAUUUUACAGGAUUAGUGGCGCAAUCUUAACGCAUUAAGUCGACCGCCUGGGGAGUACGGGCCGCAAGGUUAAAUCUCAAAUGAAUUGACGGGGGCCCUCACAAGCGGUGGAGCAUGUGGUUUAAUUCGAUGCACGCGAAGACUCUUACCCUACCCUUGACAUCCUAAUAUCU